AAGUAUUGGAAUGCCUUCCUGCUGUCUGUAUGGACCUGCUCUUGCCAGUUACUGCACAAAGAAAUAGUUUAAUUCCACUCGGAAUACAGGCACCAGGCAAAGAGAGAGGGAGAGAAGAGUUCACAGCAGGUAAGUCUGGUGUGGGUCACCUGCUACUCCAAUGGGAGGGUGUGCUGGAAACCGCGGUGCCAAGAGGGGAUAGCCGGGAUUUGCGGGUGGCUGUGCGUCCGAAGCGAGGAUGGAGCAGGAUCUGGGGAGAUAAGGAACCGUCCUGAGACAGAGAAGGCUCCCGGGAGCGGACAGAGAGUGGGCGCCCAGGGGAGCGGACGGAGAAUCGGUGCGCAGUCAGCGCGGCGCCGGCGUCCGCGCCGCACGGAGGACG
Molecule: long non-coding RNA, 382 nt
Filed under: Aotus nancymaae (Ma's night monkey)
Lineage: Eukaryota; Metazoa; Chordata; Mammalia; Primates; Aotidae
Description: lncRNA (ENSANAG00000039174.1)
Source: RNAcentral